Molecule: transfer RNA, 75 nt
Filed under: Nitrososphaerota archaeon
Lineage: Archaea; Thermoproteati; Nitrososphaerota
Description: tRNA-Glu
Rfam family: tRNA
About the family: Transfer RNA (tRNA) molecules are approximately 80 nucleotides in length.
Source: RNAcentral
GCUCUGGUAGUAUAGUCCGGUCAAGUAUGCCGGCCUCUCGAGUCGGCGACCCGGGUUCGAAUCCCGGCCAGAGCA